RNAcentral lists this ribosomal RNA (692 nucleotides) under Streptococcus thermophilus. RNAcentral's name for it is "bacterial SSU rRNA". It matches the Rfam family "Bacterial small subunit ribosomal RNA", at positions 1 to 654 of the family's 1533-position model. The record is from RNAcentral. Lineage: Bacteria; Bacillati; Bacillota; Bacilli; Lactobacillales; Streptococcaceae.
GACGUAUAGUUUUGCAUCUGGCUCAGGAUGAAUAGCAGUCUGGUUACGGCUCAGGUCGAACUCGGACGGCGUGCCUCAUUCAUUCAAGUGGGCCGCCGCAGAGAGGAGCUUGCUCUUCUAGGAUGAGUUGAGAGCGGGUGAGUAACGAGUAGGUCACCCGCCUAGUAGCGGGGGAUAAUUAUUGGCAGCGAUAGAUAAUGCCGCAUAACAAUGGAUGCCACAUGUCAUUUAUUUGAAAGGCGCAAUGCCUUCACUACAAGAUGGACCUGCGGUGCAUUAGCUAGUAGGUGAGGUAAUGGCUCACCUAGGCGAUGAUACAUAGCCGACUUGAGAGGGUGAUCGGCCACAAUGGGACUGAGACACGGCCCAGACUCCUACGGGAGGCAGCAGUAGGGAAUCUUCCCCAAUGGGGGCAACCCUGACGGAGCAACGCCGCGUGAGUGAAGAAGGUUUUCGGAUCGUAAAGCUCUGUUGUAAAUCAAGAACGGGUGUGAGAGUGGAAAUUCCUCACUGUGCGGGUAUUUUCCCAGAAAUGGAGGCUUAAUUCGGUCCCGCCAGCCGGGGAAAUACUUGGGUCCCAAGCGUAUUCGGGAUUAAUGGGGGGUAAGAGAAGGCCGGCGGGUAGAUAAUUUGGAAGAAAAGGUUGGGUUCAACCAGAAGCGUUUAGAAACUGAUGACUCUGAUUUAAAAUA